GAUGAACGCUGGCGGCGUGCCUAAUACAUGCAAGUCGAGCGAACAGAUGAGGAGCUUGCUCCUCUGACGUCAGCGGCGGACGGGUGAGUAACACGUGGAUAACCUACCUAUAAGACUGGGAUAACUUCGGGAAACCGGAGCUAAUACCGGAUAAUAUAUUGAACCGCAUGGUUCAAUAGUGAAAGACGGUUUUGCUGUCACUUAUAGAUGGAUCCGCGCCGCAUGAGCUAGUUGGUAAGGUAACGGCUUACCAAGGCAACGAUGCGUAACCGACCUGGGAGGGUGGUCGCCCACACUGGAACUGAGACCCGGUCCAGGCUCCUACGGGAGGCCGCAGUAGGGAAUCUUCCGCAAUGGGCGAAAGCCUGACGGAGCAACGCCGCGUGAGUGAUGAAGGUCUUCGGAUCGUAAAACUCUGUUAUUAGGGAAGAACAAAUGUGUACGUAACUAUGCACGUCUUGACGGUACCUAAUCAGAAAGCCACGGCUAACUACGUG
RNAcentral lists this ribosomal RNA (497 nucleotides) under uncultured bacterium. Its description in RNAcentral is "partial 16S ribosomal RNA". It matches the Rfam family "Bacterial small subunit ribosomal RNA", at positions 28 to 507 of the family's 1533-position model. The record is from RNAcentral.